RNAcentral lists this ribosomal RNA (253 nucleotides) under uncultured bacterium. RNAcentral describes it as "partial 16S ribosomal RNA". It matches the Rfam family "Bacterial small subunit ribosomal RNA", at positions 524 to 776 of the family's 1533-position model. The record is from RNAcentral.
UACGAAGGGGGCUAGCGUUGCUCGGAAUUACUGGGCGUAAAGCGCACGUAGGCGGUCUUUUAAGUCGGGGGUGAAAUCCUGGAGCUCAACUCCAGAACUGCCUUCGAUACUGGAAGACUUGAGUCCGGGAGAGGUGAGUGGAACUGCGAGUGUAGAGGUGAAAUUCGUAGAUAUUCGCAAGAACACCAGUGGCGAAGGCGACUGACUGGACAAGUAUUGACGCUGAGGUGCGAAAGCGUGGGGAGCAAACAGG